RNAcentral lists this ribosomal RNA (777 nucleotides) under uncultured Enterobacterales bacterium. RNAcentral describes it as "bacterial SSU rRNA". It matches the Rfam family "Bacterial small subunit ribosomal RNA", at positions 10 to 780 of the family's 1533-position model. Lineage: Bacteria; Pseudomonadati; Pseudomonadota; Gammaproteobacteria; Enterobacterales. The record is from RNAcentral.
AGUUGAUCCUGGCUCAAUUGAACGCUGGCGGCAGGCCUAACACAUGCAAGUCGAACGGUAGCACAGAGAGCUUGCUCUCGGGUGACGAGUGGCGGACGGGUGAGUAAUGUCUGGGAAACUGCCUGAUGGAGGGGGAUAACUACUGGAAACGGUAGCUAAUACCGCAUAACGUCGCAAGACCAAAGAGGGGGACCUUCGGGCCUCUUGCCAUCAGAUGUGCCCAGAUGGGAUUAGCUAGUAGGUGGGGUAACGGCUCACCUAGGCGACGAUCCCUAGCUGGUCUGAGAGGAUGACCAGCCACACUGGAACUGAGACACGGUCCAGACUCCUACGGGAGGCAGCAGUGGGGAAUAUUGCACAAUGGGCGCAAGCCUGAUGCAGCCAUGCCGCGUGUAUGAAGAAGGCCUUCGGGUUGUAAAGUACUUUCAGCGGGGAGGAAGGUGUUGCGGUUAAUAACCGCAGCAAUUGACGUUACCCGCAGAAGAAGCACCGGCUAACUCCGUGCCAGCAGCCGCGGUAAUACGGAGGGUGCAAGCGUUAAUCGGAAUUACUGGGCGUAAAGCGCACGCAGGCGGUCUGUCAAGUCGGAUGUGAAAUCCCCGGGCUCAACCUGGGAACUGCAUUCGAAACUGGCAGGCUAGAGUCUUGUAGAGGGGGGUAGAAUUCCAGGUGUAGCGGUGAAAUGCGUAGAGAUCUGGAGGAAUACCGGUGGCGAAGGCGGCCACCUGGACAAAGACUGACGCUCAGGUGCGAAAGCGUGGGGAGCAAACAGGAUUA